This 193-nucleotide ribosomal RNA is filed under the name uncultured bacterium. RNAcentral's name for it is "partial 16S ribosomal RNA". It matches the Rfam family "Bacterial small subunit ribosomal RNA", at positions 339 to 524 of the family's 1533-position model. The record is from RNAcentral.
CUACGGGAGGCAGCAGUGGGGAAUAUUGCACAAUGGGGGAAACCCUGAUGCAGCCAUGCCGCGUGUGUGAAGAAGGCCUUCGGGUUGUAAAGCACUUUCAGCGAGGAGGAAAGGUUGGUAGCUAAUAACUGCCAGCUGUGACGUUACUCGCAGAAGAAGCACCGGCUAAUUCCGUGCCAGCAGCCGCGGUAAU